Molecule: ribosomal RNA, 253 nt
Filed under: uncultured bacterium
Lineage: Bacteria
Description: partial 16S ribosomal RNA
Rfam family: Bacterial small subunit ribosomal RNA
Source: RNAcentral
UACGAAGGGGGCUAGCGUUGUUCGGAUUUACUGGGCGUAAAGCGCACGUAGGCGGCUUGUUAAGUGAGGGGUGAAAUCCUGGAGCUCAACUCCAGAACUGCCUUUCAUACUGGCAAGCUAGAGUCCGGAAGAGGUGAGUGGAACUCCUAGUGUAGAGGUGGAAUUCGUAGAUAUUAGGAAGAACACCAGUGGCGAAGGCGGCUCACUGGUCCGGUACUGACGCUGAGGUGCGAAAGCGUGGGGAGCAGACAGG